AUACCUUAGCUUUGGCCAAUCUCAUGUUGCAAUUUUGCUUCAAACACAACAUUCAGUGAUUCUUAUGAAAACAGCAGCAUUUCUCGAAAGAUCCUGGAACGGCCACAAUCUCAAGAGGUAGUACGAUUCUACCCGUCGUCAUAUUUCGUCCGCCAAGCCAUUGCGCGGAGAUGUUGGCUCCAUGCCCAUUUCAACACAGGCUCACUCGCCCGCGCUCGCGCGUCGUCGCUUUGCCUUCAUGCCACCAGACAGCGCUGCCUGUCGCGCAUGCGCUGUUCUUGUUGGGUUCGCUUUGGCUGCUGUAACGGUCGUUUCUCGUCGCCGCGUGUAGUUCGCGUAAUUGCGAGCGUUCCAGCAAGUCUAAAGCGUUUAAGAGGCUUUGUAUUGUUGUUCUCACCUGAUGCUGUCGUUCUUGCAACCCGUCUGAUAUUGCAACUGUCUGUAAGUGGAAGCGUUUCUUCUAACCGCGAGCAGACCAGUCGGUCUCGUUUGACAUGUCAAAGAGUGAAGACGCUGCCUUGCAUGUGAAGCCAAAUCGUUCUUCGCCUUCAGGAUUCUUGCCGUUUCAGGGAUCUGCACAACGACAGGGAGAUAGAACGCCAAGUGAAGUCUACUGUAUGCUUUGUGCAGACGGUUCAGCGUGUAUGACGCAGCGGCCUCCAGCAAGAGAAACUCAAGCACCGUGUUCAAAUGCGGUGGGGACUCUUGCUCGACAUAACAACGCUUAGAAGUGCUCUUUCGGAAGAAGGACAAGUUGGACCGGAAAUGAGGACCUAGGUGUGCUCUUUUGCGUUGUUGUUCACCGUUCGAUCAUUACCAAUUUUUGUGCCCCCGUGAGUUCAACGCUCAGGUAUGUUGAUGAUAAAUGGAUAUGCGUUAAAAGGUACGU
Molecule: long non-coding RNA, 889 nt
Organism: Ornithodoros turicata
Lineage: Eukaryota; Metazoa; Arthropoda; Arachnida; Ixodida; Argasidae
Exons: 3
Source: RefSeq, a predicted model, not a curated record